RNAcentral lists this ribosomal RNA (231 nucleotides) under uncultured bacterium. Its description in RNAcentral is "partial 16S ribosomal RNA". It matches the Rfam family "Bacterial small subunit ribosomal RNA", at positions 15 to 236 of the family's 1533-position model. The record is from RNAcentral.
GAUCAUGGCUCAGGAUGAACGCUAGCUACAGGCUUAACACAUGCAAGUCGAGGGGAAACGACAUCGAAAGCUUGCUUUUGAUGGGCGUCGACCGGCGCACGGGUGAGUAACGCGUAUCCAACCUGCCUACCACUUGGGGAUAACCUUGCGAAAGUAAGACUAAUACCCAAUGACAUCCCACGAAGACAUCUGAAUGGGAUUAAAGAUUUAUCGGUGAUGGAUGGGAUGCGU